ACAAUGCUUUAUUCUCUUGAUGUGACAUCUUCUUUUGACAACCCAUCUUCUCUUGAUACUUAUCUUGUAUCUUCAAGUGAUGCGGUGUCUACCUCUGAUGUGCCAUCUCUUCGUUAUCUCCUUCGGCGACUCGACAAGUUUUGAAGACUCUUCAUGCUACGACGACACUCUCAAGACGCGGAUUUGGAUUAUCAUUUUUUUUCUUCAGUAUUACACUUCUUCAAAUGCAAUGCUAUUGCAUACACUUUGCAUUUGAGGGGGGGGGGGUGUUAGGAAGUAUUAGUAUUAGUCUAGGAGUCCUCAUUAGUCUAUUAGUAU
Molecule: long non-coding RNA, 318 nt
Filed under: Hordeum vulgare
Lineage: Eukaryota; Viridiplantae; Streptophyta; Magnoliopsida; Poales; Poaceae
Description: long non-coding RNA (HVUL_LNC003799)
Source: RNAcentral